This 44-nucleotide transfer RNA is filed under the name Lepidodactylus orientalis. Its description in RNAcentral is "partial tRNA-Cys". Lineage: Eukaryota; Metazoa; Chordata; Lepidosauria; Squamata; Gekkonidae. The record is from RNAcentral.
AGCCCCGACACCCUUUCCGGUGUCUCUCCAAAUUUGCACUUUGG